Molecule: long non-coding RNA, 2668 nt
Organism: Strigops habroptila (Kakapo)
Lineage: Eukaryota; Metazoa; Chordata; Aves; Psittaciformes; Psittacidae
Exons: 3
Source: RefSeq, a predicted model, not a curated record
UCUCUCUAAGACCCUGCUGACACUAGGAUGCACCAGCACUUGCUCUGCUCGCUGGGAGGCCCGGAAGCCAGUGCAGCACGUGUGUGCUUAAAAAUGAGGUUUAUUCCUGCUCAGACGAGCUAAUGAAGCCGGGAAAUAAGUUACAAAGAGAACAAAGCAAUCCCAAACCACUUCCAGCUGCACCUUUCAGGUCACUUCAGCAUCUGGAAAAUAGGAGCUUUUUGCAGUGUUCCAGACUACACAGGAGCUGGCCCAUCCUAUGCACAAGGAAACUGCAUCAAAAAUAAACCAGGUGCCCCAAGGAACAGCCAUGUGGGAAGGUGGCAGGUUGGGUCUUCAGAACAUUCUCUCUUCUGCAGAAGCCACAAUGGUGCAUCCCUGUGUCCUGGUCUCUUCCAGGUGGAGUUAAGAAAAGGCUUCCUGAAAACUCCAGUUCUACCCACUUCAGUGUGUUUCAGUUCUAACUUCAAGAUGGGUCUUUUGGGUAGGGAAGGGGGUUUCAGAACCGCUGCAUCAAGCCAGCUGUGAAGGAUGGCAGCUGACAUCUCUCCACAGGUAGCUGGCAGUGCCACAGGGCCAUCACCUCUGUCAUGUCACAUCACUGCUGGGACUUGCCUCUCCCUUUCUAAACAAAUCAGAUUAUUUUACUCUUGAAAGCUUUUCCAUGCAAAUUCCGCCCCCAAUACCAGUGAAGAUGAAGAAUGAGACCCCCCCCUGCUCCAUCUUGCAAUACUUUUGGGUGCAAAGUACUUUUGGUUCACCUUUGGGUAUUGCACUCUCUCCAGCAGGUUGCAUACUUACACUUCCCAGGUUAUUCACCUCCCCCCCACCACAUACAAUUUCACUUUGUCAAGUGUAUCCAGCAGAUUUUAAACACUUUAUUUAAUAAAAGUUAAACAUACAAAACUGAAAUUAACACACUUUGUAUUCAUAAAAAUCACCUUCUCCCAUUAUAGGGAGAACCUUUUUCUAUGUAUGGAUUCUAAACUACCAGUUGUAGAGUUUAGCUUGAGUUGUGACUCAGGUAACUGAUGGACAUUCCCACCAAUCAGUGCAUCAACGAUUGCUGACGUGACCUGAUCUAGUUAACAAAUUACAAAAUGAGCUACAUUAACAUAAUAUACAGGGAAAUAAUGGUCAGGGUUAAUGGACAAGAACCACCUUUGAAUUCUUUAAGGGGGGGGAAAAAGCUGAUGUACUCUUGUCCAUUAACUCAGCCCUAGAUUUUACAAAAAUAAUAUCUACAUUGUGUACAGGGCUACCCAUUAACUUCUUUAAACACGUUACAGGUUCAGAGAUGGCACCACUACCGUGAGAGACAAGUAACGGGGGAAAGCAAAUCACAGAGAAAAUACAAGAAAGCAAGAGCUUUUACACGUGUUUCCUGAAUAAAAUGGAAGGGCUGAGCAGCACUGUACUACAGCUGAAGUCACAAUGAGCACUGGGGCCACUCAGUUAAGGACAGACACUUCAGACUAACCUUUACUCGCUCCCAACUCGCUAAGUGGGCUCUACGCAGCCGUGCUGCCGCUCAGAGGGACAGGAUGGAGGAGGCACAGACCAGCUCUCCCCGGGUUCCAGGCCAGCAAUCAGCAAACCCAGGCGAUCCACAAGCAAGGUAGCACAACCAUGGCUGUUCUCCAACACCCUGAUCCUCAGGGAGGGGAGCAGAGAGUAUUCUUAAGUACAGUUCUCUUGGAAUUGGAGUCUAAACACCUUCCUAUGGUUUUCUGGUUACAAUAGCCUUUCAGUAACCUCCUAUAAAAUUUGAUGAGUACUUAAAAAAAGACAAAAAAAAAAAAAAACCCCAAACCAACCCUCUCCUCUGCUUAACUCCUAGUGCAGGGAAUCCAAACUGGAAUUCAAGUCAGAUUUAUUGUUUCUAGCACAUGAAUCACCAUUAGUAAUAAAGAUCCUAUCGGCCCUGUCCUGCCCUCAUGUACAGCUGUACAAACCGAUCCUCAGUGGAUUGUAAGGGAGUGAUUUAGCACUUCCUUAGCAAUCCCAUGGGAUGUAUAAGCUCUUAUAGAGCCCAGCUUAGCGUUCUCUCCCAGAGCUGUGGAGCUCUCUAACGCUGCGCUCAUUGCUGUGACUGCACGAACAAGGGAGGCUGUUGGGUGCCAUUUUCCUACCACCACUUUCCUUAAGGAAAAAACCAAAUCUCAAUACUGCUAUGAAUGGAAGAUUCCAGAGAUCAAAGCUGCAGAUAACUACUGCUUUCAGAGCAACACAUAACAGCAGUUCAUGAAAGCAUUUACCUGCAGAAUGUAUUUUUAAUGCAGCUACAAAAAGUUUAAUGGUAGAGGGGGUCAAAUCAAGAGCUGGAGAUUUAAGGCUCUCGUAUCAGCUGAAGCCAAAGUGAUGGUGACAGAACGGACUACUUGCGAUGUGCCAACAAAUAAUUUACUUUUAGAAAAAUAUAAUGAUAAAAAGAUAAGUGUAAAGCCCUGCAGAGAUGAAGUUCCACCUUUCCCCCCCCCCGUUACUGAGGCAUUAAAUGCCUGACAUUGUAUUUAGAGGUAUCUUGAUACUGUGUCAUAGGUUUGUCUGCAAUUCCACACGUUCCGACUCCAACCUUGCCAGUUACGCUCUCAGGGGAAGCAAAAAUACUCCUCUUCACCUGCAGAUGAAAGAGAAAACACCAUUCUGAGUAACUACUAACUGGCUC